This 71-nucleotide transfer RNA is filed under the name Candidatus Huberarchaeum crystalense. Its description in RNAcentral is "archaeon (Candidatus Huberarchaea) CG03_land_8_20_14_0_80_31_114 tRNA-His". It matches the Rfam family "tRNA". Rfam says of the family: Transfer RNA (tRNA) molecules are approximately 80 nucleotides in length. Their secondary structure includes four short double-helical elements and three loops (D, anti-codon, and T loops). The record is from RNAcentral. Lineage: Archaea; Nanobdellati; Candidatus Huberarchaeota; Candidatus Huberarchaeia; Candidatus Huberarchaeales; Candidatus Huberarchaeaceae.
GCAGACGUAGUGUAUUGGUAACAUACAAGAUUGUGGCUCUUGUGAAGCGAGUUCAAUUCUCGCCGUUUGCC